UACGGUAGGUGGCGAGCGUUAUCCGGAAUUAUUGGGCGUAAAGAGCGCGCAGGUGGUUGAUUAAGUCUGAUGUGAAAGCCCACGGCUUAACCGUGGAGGGUCAUUGGAAACUGGUCGACUUGAGUGCAGAAGAGGGAAGUGGAAUUCCAUGUGUAGCGGUGAAAUGCGUAGAGAUAUGGAGGAACACCAGUGGCGAAGGCGGCUUUCUGGUCUACCCCUGACGCUGAGGAGCGAAAAGCCAGGGGGAGCAAACGGGAUUAGAUACCCCCUGUA
Molecule: ribosomal RNA, 273 nt
Filed under: uncultured prokaryote
Description: partial 16S ribosomal RNA
Rfam family: Bacterial small subunit ribosomal RNA
Source: RNAcentral